Molecule: ribosomal RNA, 237 nt
Filed under: Malassezia dermatis
Lineage: Eukaryota; Fungi; Basidiomycota; Malasseziomycetes; Malasseziales; Malasseziaceae
Description: partial large subunit ribosomal RNA
Source: RNAcentral
AAGCGCUUGAAGUCAGCCAUGCUGCGCGGACUCAGCCCGGCUGGAUGCCUGGUGUAUUUCUCAGUAGCAAGUCAGCAUGGAUUUGAGUCGCCGGAGAAGGGUAGGAGGAAUGUAGCACCCACGGGUGUGUUAAGCCUCCUACUGGAUACGGCGAUUUGGAUCCAGGAACGCAGUGUGCCUCUGGCGGGUCUUCGGACACCUUCACACUUAGGAUGCUGGCGUAAUGGCUUUAAGCGG